GACGAACGCUGGCGGCGUGCCUAAUACAUGCAAGUUGAGCGCUGAAGGUUGGUACUUGUACCAACUGGAUGAGCAGCGAACGGGUGAGUAACGCGUGGGGAAUCUGCCUUUGAGCGGGGGACAACAUCUGGAAACGAAUGCUAAUACCGCAUAAAAACUUUAAACACAAGUUUUAAGUUUGAAAGAUGCAAUUGCAUCACUCAAAGAUGAUCCCGCGUUGUAUUAGCUAGUUGGUGAGGUAAAGGCUCACCAAGGCGAUGAUACAUAGCCGACCUGAGAGGGUGAUCGGCCACAUUGGGACUGAGACACGGCCCAAACUCCUACGGGAGGCAGCAGUAGGGAAUCUUCGGCAAUGGACGAAAGUCUGACCGAGCAACGCCGCGGGAGUGAAGAAGGGUUUCGGAUCGUAAAACUCUGUUGGUAGAGAAGAACGUUGGUGAGAGUGGAAAGCUCAUCAAGUGACGGUAACUACCCAGAAAGGGACGGCUAACUACGUG
Molecule: ribosomal RNA, 497 nt
Filed under: uncultured bacterium
Lineage: Bacteria
Description: partial 16S ribosomal RNA
Rfam family: Bacterial small subunit ribosomal RNA
Source: RNAcentral